AUAUCAAUAAGCGGAGGAAAAGAAACUAACAAGGAUUCCCCUAGUAACGGCGAGUGAAGCGGGAAGAGCUCAAAUUUGUAAUCUGGCGGUCUCCGGCCGUCCGAGUUGUAGUCUGGAGAAGCGUCUUCCGCGCCGGACCGUGUACAAGUCCCUUGGAACAGGGUGUCGUAGAGGGUGAGAAUCCCGUCUUUGACACGGACUACCGGUGCUUUGUGAUGCGCUCUCAAAGAGUCGAGUUGUUUGGGAAUGCAGCUCAAAAUGGGUGGUAAAUUCCAUCUAAAGCUAAAUAUUGGCGAAAGACCGAUAGCGAACAAGUACCGUGAGGGAAGGAUGAAAAGCACUUUGGAAAGAGAGUUAAACAGUACGUGAAAUUGUUGAAAGGGAAACGCUUGAAGUCAGUCGCGUCUUCCGGGACUCAGCCUCGCUUUUGCUUGGUGCAUUUCCCGAAUGACGGGCCAGCAUCGAUUUUGACCGUUGGAGAAAGGCUUUGGGAAUGUGGCACCUUCGGGUGUGUUAUAGCCCUCGGUCGUAUGCAACGGUUGGGAUCGAGGAUCGCAGCACGCCUUUUUGGCCGGGGUUCGCCCACGUAACGUGCUUAGGAUGCUGGCGUAAUGGCUUUAAACGA
RNAcentral lists this ribosomal RNA (625 nucleotides) under uncultured fungus. RNAcentral's name for it is "eukaryotic LSU rRNA". It matches the Rfam family "Eukaryotic large subunit ribosomal RNA", at positions 40 to 647 of the family's 3401-position model. The record is from RNAcentral. Lineage: Eukaryota; Fungi.